RNAcentral lists this long non-coding RNA (221 nucleotides) under Elaeis guineensis (African oil palm). RNAcentral's name for it is "long non-coding RNA (EGUI_LNC041840)". The record is from RNAcentral. Lineage: Eukaryota; Viridiplantae; Streptophyta; Magnoliopsida; Arecales; Arecaceae.
CAUUGCUUUUAAUUUUUCUUUGAUUAAUCUAAUCUGAUCAGCUAUAAUUUAUACUAUCUCUGAACCUAAGAGUUUUCUUUCUCCUUCUUCAUCUCAACACACUGGAGUUCUGCACUUUCUACCAUAUAGAGCCUCAUAUGGUGCCAUACCAAUACUGGAAUGAUAACUAUUGUUGUAGCCAAAUUCUAUCAGUGGUACAUGUUCAUCCCAACAGCCUGACA